RNAcentral lists this transfer RNA (73 nucleotides) under Pneumocystis oryctolagi. Its description in RNAcentral is "tRNA-Ala". It matches the Rfam family "tRNA". From Rfam's summary of the family: Transfer RNA (tRNA) molecules are approximately 80 nucleotides in length. Their secondary structure includes four short double-helical elements and three loops (D, anti-codon, and T loops). Lineage: Eukaryota; Fungi; Ascomycota; Pneumocystomycetes; Pneumocystales; Pneumocystaceae. The record is from RNAcentral.
GGGGAGAUAGUUUAACUAGGUAAAACACUGAUUUUGCAUGUCUGAAUUAUGGAAUCGUUCUCCAUUCUCUCCA